This 331-nucleotide ribosomal RNA is filed under the name uncultured bacterium. RNAcentral describes it as "bacterial SSU rRNA". It matches the Rfam family "Bacterial small subunit ribosomal RNA", at positions 568 to 898 of the family's 1533-position model. The record is from RNAcentral.
CGCGUAGGCGGGAUAUUAAGUCUCAUUUAAAAGUGCGGGGCUCAACCCCGUGAUGGGUGAGAAACUAAUAUUCUUGAGUGCCGGAGAGGAAAGCGGAAUUCCCAGUGUAGCGGUGAAAUGCGUAGAUAUUGGGAGGAACACCAGUGGCGAAGGCGGCUUUCUGGACGGUGUCUGACGCUGAGGCGCGAAAGCCAGGGGAGCGAACGGGAUUAGAUACCCCGGUAGUCCUGGCCGUAAACGAUGGGUACUAGGUGUAGGGGGUAUCGACCCCUCCUGUGCCGGAGUUAACGCAAUAAGUACCCCGCCUGGGGAGUACGGCCGCAAGGUUGAA